RNAcentral lists this ribosomal RNA (274 nucleotides) under uncultured bacterium. RNAcentral describes it as "partial 16S ribosomal RNA". It matches the Rfam family "Bacterial small subunit ribosomal RNA", at positions 523 to 796 of the family's 1533-position model. The record is from RNAcentral.
AUACAGAGGGUGCGAGCGUUAAUCGGAAUUACUGGGCGUAAAGCGCGCGUAGGCGGUCUAUUAAGUCAGAUGUGAAAUCCCAGGGCUCAACCUUGGAACUGCAUCUGAUACUGGUAGACUAGAGUUUUGGAGAGGGAAGUAGAAUUUCAGGUGUAGCGGUGAAAUGCAUAGAGAUCUGAAGGAAUACCAGUGGCGAAGGCGACUUCCUGGCCAAAAGCUGACGCUGAGGUGCGAAAGCGUGGGUAGCAAACGGGAUUAGAUACCCUAGUAGUCC